AGCUAUUUUCUAAUGUUGGUCUAGAAAUCUUGUUUGCAAUCUUGUGUGUAAUUGGUAGACCAUCAAGGUUUAUAGAACAUAUUUUGUUGUGAUUACUUCAUCUGUUUUGUGUGCGGAGAGACCCCUCGAAUCACAAGUCGUGCCGGCUGCGAUGAAGUUGAAUGAGAUCGCCAUAUUGAAUUCGGUGCUGCUCGAAAACAGAAGACACGUGUAGAUUAAAAAUUGUGGAUUUUGGAGGAUAAUUCGGAAUAAAAUCAUUGAAAACUAGCACAACGUUAUUGCUAGUACUGUUUCGUUAUCCAGGAAAGUGAAAAUCUCCCCGAAAGUGAGAGACGAGAAAUAGCUGACGGUGACGACGAAUGCGUUUGGCUUUUUUUUUUUUUUUGUGUCGGUGCAUGUGGAAGAUUUUACAGUGGCAUGGACAGACUGAAUUCCGGUCGAGAUACGGAUGUGGACAUCUUUUUCUGUUAUGAAUAUUUCACAAGUGAUUAAAAAUCUGCCGGAUUAUUAUGUGAUUUCCGUGUUCAAGAGUAGGUAUGCUACUGAUAAUAAAUCAUAAUGUUUUGAUUUUUGUAUGGACGGAUUUUGACUGCAAAUAGGGAUGUUGGGUAGCACAUUGAAUAGCGGUGAGUUCUUUUUCGUAAAAAUAAUACAUCGGCUUUUUCAUCAUGUUACGUAUAAUAAUUGUAAUAGAAACCGAAACAUUGCACUUUAGUGGUUAUUUUAGCUAGUGACGUGAAGCUGUGAUAAAAAUACUUCGGAGAAAAAAACGCGGAAAGGAAUUAAAAAAAAAUACAGCGACACGUUUUGAACUCAUUCGUUAGAUUGCUCAAUGCUACGCAGUAUUUCCAGCAUAAUUUUUCAAAUCGACGUUUCUAACUUUUUCACUGAUCUGAGUAAAUUCGUGGUCAAUGUUGACGACCAUUUCACUAAAAUAGUUUUUUUAUAAAAAUACUUUUCAUAAGUUUUUUCGUGCUUUAUCACCAGGGAUAUAGCACGCACUAGGUAAGAAACAAAACCUGCUCAUUCCAUAUCAUUUUUACAAUGAAUUUUGACCAAAAUACACAUACACCGGAUUGGUUAGAGAUACGUCAUGCCAGAUACGUCGCUUUUGUAUGGUGUCAGUUUGGUGUAUCUGUUACUUUGGAUUUUGGCUAGAUACGUCGUUUGGUGUUGUAAUUGUAAUUGUAAUUUAUUAUCAUAAACGUAAGCCUGGCGGUAUAACCAUUAAUCAGGUCAAGGAAAUUUGUUCUCAUAUAUCAAAACGGUGUAUCUAAUUUAAUUUGUAAUUUGUAAUUUGUAAUUUAUUAGUAACAUCACGACACCCUGUUGGACAGGCCAUAUAUCAGGUCAAGGAAAAUCAUACAUAUAGAUAUUUAUAACAUUAUAUCAGUAAAGUUGUAAACAUAAAAAUAGUUAGAUACGUCGUUUCGAAAAAUAUGCUUAGUUAAACAAAUUAAGCAAUAAAUAACACAGCGUAACAUUUUUUUGUCUCAAGAGCAAACUUAUGUGUCUCCGAAGGAUUUUGGGCCGCUGAAUCCGAAUCCGGGCUCAGAUUUGCUCUAACACGUCACAAUUUUGAGCUAUACCCCAUUUUAUAGGGCAAAAUAUGCGAUUUUGGGCUUUUUUGACUGCAAGCCAUUAAGCUUGGAAAUAUUUUUUUUAUGCAAUCAAAAGGUUAAUUGGUCAAUUAACAUCUAAAUUAACGACUCAUACAAAAUAUUUCGUUUUACCUAAUCAAAUUUGAUAGAUUUAAGCAUUUUAUGUUAGUAUGAAAACUUGCAUGCAACUUUUGGAGGGUGACUUGUAUGGGAAAUAUCGUACCUAACAUAAAUCGCUUAAAACUAUUAAAUUCGAUUUGGUAAAACGAAAUAUUUUGCAUGAGUCGUUGAUUUAGAUGUUAAUUGACCAAUUAACCUUUUGAUUGCUUAAAAAAAAUAUUUCCUUGCUUAAUGGUUUGCAGUCAAAAAAGCCCAAAAUCGCAUAUUUUGCCCUAUAAAUUGAGGCAUAGCUCAAAAUUGUGACGUGUUAGAGCAAAUCUGAGCCCGGAUUCGGAUUCAGCGGCCCAAAAUCCUUCGGAGACACAUAAGUUUGCUCUUGAGACAGACAAAAAGUUAAUUUUUGUUACGCUGUGUAAUCAAACAUUGAUGUGGGGUGGAUUCUUUAAUUUGCUUUAUGAAUCAUACAACAUGCACCUGAAACCCCGGAUUUGUUUACAUUUGCGAGUUACGUCGGAUUGAAAAGUUAUGCUUGAUUUGAUCUUAUUCAAUGAACCAUUUUACGGAGUGACAACAAUGUUGAUGAUGAUAUUGAUUUUUACGGGUUAUUGGACGCUACCUCCUGUCAAAAUUCAUUCAUAAAAUCGGCUCGUAAAAUGGACUAUAAUGCAUCAUAAUCAUUGGCGUAAAUAGGGGGUGGCCAGGGGGGGGCUGGCCCCCUCCAGAAUAA
This is a long non-coding RNA of Aedes albopictus (Asian tiger mosquito), 2448 nucleotides long. RefSeq lists it as uncharacterized. The transcript is spliced from 2 exons. The record is from RefSeq and is a predicted model, not a curated record. NCBI's taxonomy places the organism in Eukaryota, Metazoa, Arthropoda, Insecta, Diptera, Culicidae.